RNAcentral lists this ribosomal RNA (467 nucleotides) under uncultured bacterium. Its description in RNAcentral is "partial 16S ribosomal RNA". It matches the Rfam family "Bacterial small subunit ribosomal RNA", at positions 29 to 506 of the family's 1533-position model. The record is from RNAcentral.
UACUAACUCUGGCGGCGUGCUUAACACAUGCAAGUCGAACGGAAAGGCCCUGCUUUUGUGGGGUGCUCGAGUGGCGAACGGGUGAGUAACACGUGAGUAACCUGCCCUUGACUUUGGGAUAACUUCAGGAAACUGGGGCUAAUACCGGAUAGGAGCUCCUGCUGCAUGGUGGGGGUUGGAAAGUUUCGGCGGUUGGGGAUGGACUCGCGGCUUAUCAGCUUGUUGGUGGGGUAGUGGCUUACCAAGGCUUUGACGGGUAGCCGGCCUGAGAGGGUGACCGGCCACAGUGGGACUGAGAUACGGCCCAGACUCCUACGGGAGGCAGGAGUGGGGAAUAUUGCACAAUGGGCGGAAGCCUGAUGCAGCAACGCCGCGUGCGGGAUGACGGCCUUCGGGUUGUAAACCGCUUUCGCCUGUGACGAAGCGUGAGUGACGGUAAUGGGUAAAGAAGCACCGGCUAACUACGU